Molecule: ribosomal RNA, 460 nt
Filed under: uncultured bacterium
Lineage: Bacteria
Description: partial 16S ribosomal RNA
Rfam family: Bacterial small subunit ribosomal RNA
Source: RNAcentral
CCUACGGGAGGCAGCAGUGAGGAAUAUUGGUCAAUGGCCGAGAGUCUGAACCAGCCAAGUAGCGUGAAGGAUGACUGCCCUAUGGGUUGUAAACUUCUUUUAUAGAGGAAUAAAACGAGGCACGUGUCCCUUCUCGAGUGUACUUUAUGAAUAAGCAUCGGCUAACUCCGUGCCAACAGCCGCGGUAAUACGGAGGAUUCGAGCGUUAUCCGGAUUUGUUGGGUUUAAAGGGAGCGUAGAUGGGUUGUGAAGUCAGUUGUGAAAGUUUGCGGCUCAACCGUAAAAUUGCAAUUGAUACUGGGAGUCUUGAGUACAGUUGAAGUAGGCGGAAUUCGUGGUGUAGCGGUGAAAUGCUUAGAUAUCACGAAGAACCCCGAUUGCGAAGGCAGCUUACUAAACUGUGACUGACACUGAUGCACGAAAGUGUGGGUAUCGAACAGGAUUAGAUACCCCAGUAGUC